This 72-nucleotide transfer RNA is filed under the name Candidatus Caldarchaeum subterraneum. RNAcentral describes it as "tRNA-Thr". It matches the Rfam family "tRNA". Rfam says of the family: Transfer RNA (tRNA) molecules are approximately 80 nucleotides in length. The record is from RNAcentral. Lineage: Archaea; Thermoproteati; Nitrososphaerota; Candidatus Caldarchaeales; Candidatus Caldarchaeaceae.
GCCCCGGUAGCUCAGCGGUAGAGCGACGGCCUCGUAAGCCGUCGGCCGCGGGUUCAAACCCCGCCCGGGGCU